This is a long non-coding RNA of Solanum pennellii, 2521 nucleotides long. RefSeq lists it as uncharacterized. The record is from RefSeq and is a predicted model, not a curated record. Lineage: Eukaryota; Viridiplantae; Streptophyta; Magnoliopsida; Solanales; Solanaceae. The transcript has 2 exons.
UAUUGUAACGUGUUUGGAUCUUUUUUAAAGUUAUGACUAAUCUGAUGGGUGCACAUAUAUAAUUAUUUGUGUUGUAAUGAUUUAAUAUAACAAUCAAAUCAUCACUUUACUUUUUCUUUUUUCUACCGUAAUCUAUAAUUUUUUCAGUAAUUUCUACUUGACAGUUUACGUGGCUAACAAUUUAGCUCGACUCAUGUGAGCAGAGAACCAUGACGAACAAUUUUGCUGGGGUCAUGUGAAGAGAGAAAUAAUUUCAUGAUAUAAAUUUCCAACUUCUUCUCCUAGAUCAAUUCAUGCUCUUUAAGCUCCUUGGCAUCAAUAUGUAAUUUUUUUAUUAGCCAAGGAUACUUUAAGUCAUUACAAUUCGUUUUUAUGCUUUCAUUACCCCACCAACGACUUCAUUACAUUCUCUCAUCGACAAGAGCUUCUUCAUCUUGCAGAGUUCCCCGGUUCUCCAAGUUUUUCAUUUCCCAGAGGUACUGGCUUUUCAUAUUCAAACCGUUUCCGAGUAUUUCUGCGACUCUGAGGAAAGAGUUUUACUGGGGCUAAAAGGACCUUAUGAAGAUGCUUGUACUAACUUCGAGUAUAAUUUAUAUUUGAUGGAGUGGUUUCUAUCCCAAUCUUCACAUAUGUUAUUUGAGGUAAGUGAAGUUAAGUUUCAAGGAACAUAUUUAGUGUAGUAUGUUGUUUAGACAGUUGCAAUCUACUAUGCUUAAAGUUAUCUUUAGUUUUGAUCUCCUCAAAUUUAUUGAAAUUCUUAUAUAGGAAUUUUAAUAUUGUUCCCAUUGGUGGAUAAGGACCGAUUUUUGAAAAUUUUAUUCACUAUAUGCCACUCUCGCAGUGAUUCUUAUAAGCUCUAAAUCUCAUUCACAUGUUCCAUUUAAUCUGGCUUUAUAAAUUUAUGCUUAAAAGUUACCCGAGGAAGUUUUUUACUACAAGUCUUAAAAUUAUUCAAGGAGAACAUAUUAGUGACUAAUAGGAUUAAUUUUCGGAUAAUUUAAAAGGAACGAAAAGAAAUAUAAUUUCCUGCACAAGACAAUACUUUGAAGUGAAUGACCAACUCAUUGAUAAGAACAAAUGCGCAAUAGUAUUUAAAUCUUCUAUUUCUGACUGCACAAGUUCAUGGUGAACAUAGUAUCUCAUGAAACCUUUGAUGGGGUUAAUAUUGUUCUACAUUGGUUGGUAAAAUUUUGAAUAUGUACACACAUAGUGUAUUGACGACAUGGUGUAUUUGAUACGGAUUAUGUGUCUGAUCAGAUCCAUCACAAAUCCAAAAGUGAAUCAAACUUCAAUAUAAGAUAGUAUUUACAGGUCCCCGAGUGAGAUUCAGCAUGAAAAAAUCAAAAAAUUUAAGCUCUAUUUUCGAAUCUCACACAAAGAAGAAGCUCAGGGACAGAAAUAAGCUUCUAAAGAAUGCACAUUGUUAUUGUCUUUCCACCAAAUUAUUCUACUAAGGCUGUUGUUUUGUCUUUCUGGUUAGUUGUUCCUUCAAAUUAUUGGAGUGUAAGUUAUUUUGGUGGUAAAUAUUGUAGAUUAUAAAAAUUGAUAUUUUUGAGCCUGAGUUGUUUCGUUAGUUGAUGGAUAUGUAGAUUAGAAUGGUUCAGUCUUUUGAGCUGCAUGUUGAAUUUUUAGUCGAAUGUCUUGAUGGAUCAAUAGCUAAUCGUUGAAAUUCAUCCGACUCAUAAUUCUAAUUGGGGAUAAAGUAUAGUAUCAUAGUUUUGCCAAAAAUUAAUGAUUUGUUUGGAGGCGAAAAGAGUGAUUCUUUUCGUUGGACUGCAACUAACCAGUUUCAUAUAUUUUUAUCUGUUAUCUGUUAAGUUCACAAAUACUUUGAGGAAGUUGGUUGGUACGAAAGAGAUGUACUAAGCUCAGAUAAGUUUAUUAUCAGCAAACUCUUUAACUAAAAAUAGCUUACCAGAAGGUUAUUUGGACAAGGCUGAUUUACAACAAAAUAUGCCUCAUAAAUGGUCAACUUAUCUUAUAUCUCACUGUUUGUUGCAUAUUGUUUACAAAAGGAAGGUUAGCCUAAUGAAGACGCUUGGAGGAUGAGAAGUGUGCACUAUACAACAUGAGUACUGAGUAUGUUGAACAUCUCUCUUUAUGUGCCCUUAUUUAGUGCAAGUUCGAAACCAUACUAAUAUAGCUGCAGAUUCAUAGACAAGUUCAAGGAUGGAACUGGGAUGAAUUAGAAAAUUACAAACUUCAAAGACAAGAGUUUACAUAAGCUGAAGUUUUUAGAAUGACAUUAAAUGCGGGAGUUUUAUGGCGAAAAAGGAAUUAGAGGAUCUUCCAAACAGAGAACAGAAGGCAUAAGUCCUCAUUAUGUUGUUAAUUUAAGAUCCUUAUACUAGAAGAGUUGAUGAAAGCAACAUCGUUUAGAAAGUUAUUGGCUAUCUGGUCAUGUUGUGAAUUUUUUUUAAAAAACAACUUUAGGUUUCAAAGUGAAAAAAGAUAUAUGAAAAUUGGAAUUGUAUUUGGUCAUGAAUAUAAAUUGGAGUUCUUUUUGACUUUUUGUGGUUAA